AGGCCGUUCCGGACGGCGCAACAACGGUCGGCAUCACCCGCCCGGCCCCGACCUGGACUUUUAAUCCAUUGGUUGUGGGUUCGAGUCCCACACGGCCUACCA
Molecule: transfer RNA, 102 nt
Filed under: Streptomyces sp. JJ66
Lineage: Bacteria; Bacillati; Actinomycetota; Actinomycetes; Kitasatosporales; Streptomycetaceae
Description: tRNA-Lys
Source: RNAcentral